AACGAACGCUGGCGGCGCGCCUAAUACAUGCAAGUCGAGCGAGAAGACGUAGCAAUACGUUUGUAAAGCGGCGAACGGGUGAGGAAUACAUGGGUAACCUACCCUCGAGUGGGGAAUAACUAGCCGAAAGGUUAGCUAAUACCGCGUACGCUCCUCGGACUUCGGUUCAGGGAGGAAAGCGAUACCGUGGGUAUCGCGCUCUUGGUUGGGCUCAUGUCCUAUCAGCUUGUUGGUGAGGAACGGCUCACCAAGGCUUCGACGGGUAGCUGGUCUGAGAGGACGAUCAGCCACACUGGCACUGCGACACGGGCCAGACUCCUACGGGAGGCAGCAGUAAGGAAUAUUGCGCAAUGGGCGAAAGCCUGACGCAGCGACGCCGCGUGGGGGAGU
Molecule: ribosomal RNA, 390 nt
Filed under: uncultured bacterium
Lineage: Bacteria
Description: bacterial SSU rRNA
Rfam family: Bacterial small subunit ribosomal RNA
Source: RNAcentral